RNAcentral lists this ribosomal RNA (440 nucleotides) under uncultured bacterium. RNAcentral's name for it is "partial 16S ribosomal RNA". It matches the Rfam family "Bacterial small subunit ribosomal RNA", at positions 338 to 795 of the family's 1533-position model. The record is from RNAcentral.
CCUACGGGAGGCAGCAGUGGGGAAUAUUGCACAAUGGGGGAAACCCUGAUGCAGCGACGCCGCGUGAGCGAUGAAGUAUUUCGGUUUGUAAAGCUCUAUCAGCAGAGAAGAAAAUGACGGUACCUGACUAAGAAGCCCCGGCUAACUACGUGCCAGCAGCCGAGGUAAUACUUAGGGGGCAAACGUUAUCCGGAUUUACUGGGUGUAAAGGGAGCGUAGACGGUCCUGCAAGCCAGAUGUGAAAGCCCGGGGCUCAACCCCGGGACGGCAUUUGGAACUGUAAGGCUAGAGUGUCGGAGAGGCAGGCGGAAUUCCUGGUGUAGCGGUGAAAUGCGUAGAGAUCGGGAGGAACACCAGUGGCGAAGGCGGCCUGCUGGGCUUUAACUGACGCUGAAGCACGAAAGCGUGGGUAGCAAACAGGAUUAGAUACCCCGGUAGUC